ACCCAAAUUUUUAUCCAGGUUGACCUCGGAUCAGGUAGGGAUACCCGCUGAACUUAAGCAUAUCAAUAAGCGGAGGAAAAGAACCAACAGGGAUGCCCCAGUAACGGCGAGUGAAGCGGAAGAGCU
This 126-nucleotide ribosomal RNA is filed under the name Penicillium commune. Its description in RNAcentral is "partial 28S ribosomal RNA". The stretch from base 21 to 126 matches the Rfam family "Eukaryotic large subunit ribosomal RNA", at positions 1 to 109 of the family's 3401-position model. The record is from RNAcentral. Lineage: Eukaryota; Fungi; Ascomycota; Eurotiomycetes; Eurotiales; Aspergillaceae.